GGUAAAGAACGACUUAAAACGUCUGAUCUAAAGAACUUGUUUUCUGUGGUAUUAUGGUUAUAUUCAGGUGGAGGUUGUGCUAUGUCUUAUGAAAGGAAUCUUGAGAUAGUGGAAUAUAACUGUGGGUUGUAAGUUAUUUUUAUUGUUUGCCUUGUGAUUUGUUUUAUAUUUGAGUUAGAAUCCUCCAAGGGCAGAUCUCCUGAUCUGUGUUUAGAAGACAAAACUGGGAAAAUUCCACUGCAGCAGUCCUA
Non-coding RNA from Pelobates cultripes (western spadefoot toad), 251 nucleotides. The record is from the annotation of a GenBank genome assembly. NCBI's taxonomy places the organism in Eukaryota, Metazoa, Chordata, Amphibia, Anura, Pelobatidae.